This is a long non-coding RNA of Camellia sinensis, 1197 nucleotides long. RefSeq lists it as uncharacterized. The record is from RefSeq and is a predicted model, not a curated record. Lineage: Eukaryota; Viridiplantae; Streptophyta; Magnoliopsida; Ericales; Theaceae.
GGAUGUACGCAUACUUCCCGGCUCUUGCUCCAGAGCCUAUAGAGGAGACUUCGGCGGUAGUCUCAUUUUCUCAAGUAUACCACGGCCAGCUCUGCCGUAAGACCCGGGAGAACUUCAUGUUUUUCCACGAGUACUUUGACGUGGUUAUGGCACACGAGAUCACAUGGCAGCCGUGGGACGCGAUACCAUUGGGGCUUCGAGCCCAGUAUGACACAGCUAUGGUCAUCACUCGCCACCAUGUCCUUCUCGAGGGCCCGAUCUACCGCGCCUAGUUCUUGGGCGAGUGUUUCACACAUCAGACUUUAGGACUGCCUGCCCCAUUCAUACCGAUGGCGCCUCCAGUAUCCAUGAGAGAGACACAUAGACUUUCUGUUGAGGAGGUGAUCCAGUUUAUGGUAGGGCUGGAGGCGAAUUACUUCUGUGUAGAGGGCUACUAUGCGACUUUCAUCCAAACAUAUCUGAUGCCGCCACUGACCGGCGUUCGCGGUGGUGAGGGAGUGAGAGCUCCAGCUGCGAGAGAGAGAGGCAGAGGGGCCAGAGCCACCAGGUCCCGUGGCAGAAGAGAUUCCGGGGAGAGACAGAGAGUGAGAUGGCCAGAGCUGCCUACUACAUUGACUUGCUGGGGACGUUCUGGAGAGACCUAUCAGAUUCCCAUUGAGCCCGCACUAACCGGUCACGAGCUUGUCGGAGUUCGAGGCCUGACCCCGGCAUCCAUAGUGUACACCGGGUAGGCUCUCGAGCUAGCAGCUUCUCUGAUGGGGAUGGUUCAGACAUUCAGCCUCUACAAGAUUCCGAUCCCUUUUCAGACCCCAGCUUCGCCAGAUGCCCCAACAGGAGCCGCAGCAGGACCUUCAGUGCCUCCUCCAGCAGUAGAGAGGAGAGGGAGAUAGGCUCUAACACGCAGCCGAGGUAGAGCUAGGGGCACCCGCAGCGAGAGUGGCCCUUCAGAGCCCAUUCUGGGCGAUGAUGAUGAUAAGAUGAGCAAGGGUGAGGAGGUUGCGAGCCCACAGUCAGAGUCAUCUGAGGAUAUGGAUGGCGACGCCAGCUUAGAUUCUGCCAAUAGUGCGGCUAGAGAGGCUGAGGAGGACUUCGGUUCAGACUUUGAUCCAGAUUCAGAUAGCGGUGCCGAUGGUGAUAGUGCUCCAGAGUUUGCUCCGCCGAGGAAGAGGAUGAAGAGGGCCUCUCGAGCUUGAGAUA